GAUCGUUUGAGUACAGAAAGCAGAAACAUGGUUAUUUGACUUUAUUGUCCUGUCAUAAGAGUCUAUGAUAGACUCUCUGAAGCGAUGCAGAUGACCAUCGUCUGUAUUUCUUAAGAGAAUGAUUGGAAGAUUGUCAACAUCAACCUGGUAGUCUCAGUUUCUUAAGCAAGUUCUCGUUGAAAAUGGGCUCAAUUUUUGUUCAAGCUUUUAUCAUUGAUAGUCUACAUACAUAAGGUUUAAAUAAAUUUCUUGUCUUUAUA
This 260-nucleotide long non-coding RNA is filed under the name Cicer arietinum (chickpea). Its description in RNAcentral is "long non-coding RNA (CARI_LNC003562)". Lineage: Eukaryota; Viridiplantae; Streptophyta; Magnoliopsida; Fabales; Fabaceae. The record is from RNAcentral.